Molecule: ribosomal RNA, 722 nt
Filed under: Escherichia coli
Lineage: Bacteria; Pseudomonadati; Pseudomonadota; Gammaproteobacteria; Enterobacterales; Enterobacteriaceae
Also listed under: 2 other names
Description: partial 16S ribosomal RNA
Rfam family: Bacterial small subunit ribosomal RNA
Source: RNAcentral
GUUGUGCCCUUGAGGCGUGGCUUCCGGAGCUAACGCGUUAAGUCGACCGCCUGGGGAGUACGGCCGCAAGGUUAAAACUCAAAUGAAUUGACGGGGGCCCGCACAAGCGGUGGAGCAUGUGGUUUAAUUCGAUGCAACGCGAAGAACCUUACCUGGUCUUGACAUCCACGGAAGUUUUCAGAGAUGAGAAUGUGCCUUCGGGAACCGUGAGACAGGUGCUGCAUGGCUGUCGUCAGCUCGUGUUGUGAAAUGUUGGGUUAAGUCCCGCAACGAGCGCAACCCUUAUCCUUUGUUGCCAGCGGUCCGGCCGGGAACUCAAAGGAGACUGCCAGUGAUAAACUGGAGGAAGGUGGGGAUGACGUCAAGUCAUCAUGGCCCUUACGACCAGGGCUACACACGUGCUACAAUGGCGCAUACAAAGAGAAGCGACCUCGCGAGAGCAAGCGGACCUCAUAAAGUGCGUCGUAGUCCGGAUUGGAGUCUGCAACUCGACUCCAUGAAGUCGGAAUCGCUAGUAAUCGUGGAUCAGAAUGCCACGGUGAAUACGUUCCCGGGCCUUGUACACACCGCCCGUCACACCAUGGGAGUGGGUUGCAAAAGAAGUAGGUAGCUUAACCUUCGGGAGGGCGCUUACCACUUUGUGAUUCAUGACUGGGGUGAAGUCGUAACAAGGUAACCGUAGGGGAACCUGCGGUUGGAUCACCUCCUUACCUUAAAGAAGC